Molecule: long non-coding RNA, 555 nt
Filed under: Mytilus galloprovincialis (Mediterranean mussel)
Lineage: Eukaryota; Metazoa; Mollusca; Bivalvia; Mytilida; Mytilidae
Source: RNAcentral
GGGGGGAGGGGGUCCAUGUGAAAAAUAAUGAAUAGUACAUUAUACUUUAAAUGAUUGAAUACAUAAAUGAAAUUAUGUUACAGCAAGUGUACAUGUAAUGUCAAUAAAUUAGUGAAUAAACUACUAUUUAUUAUAUUCAUGGUAGUACUGCAUCAUUGAAGUUUGUCAAUCAGCCAUGCUUUUAUUCUUAUUCUGUGUAAGAACCUCCUUGCAGUUGAAAAAUCAUUUGCCAUGUUCACGUUUUUACAAUUCUGACCAACAAACAGAGGAAUACAACACAAGUUCAAUAUCUAGCAUGUUAAAAUAAUCUUGAGAGAAAACGUUUUUGAUUGGCUGAUUAAUUUGAUCAUGAGAAACACACAAUUUGAUUGGCUGAACACGAUUUUCCUCCAUUGGACACAGUUCAAAAUCGGGAACAACAAUAUUUUUCGUGUAGAUUUUCACCAAAUCGUGUUUUAGAGGGUUUUUCAGGAACACGAUCGUGCAAUCGUGACAAAGGGUCAAAAUCGUGUAGUACACGCCUAAAUCGUGAAAGUUGGCAGGUAUGAACAUAGU